Homo sapiens (human) is the source of this 600-nucleotide long non-coding RNA. The record is from Ensembl. Lineage: Eukaryota; Metazoa; Chordata; Mammalia; Primates; Hominidae.
AUACAGAAGCAUUUAAUGCAAGAGAUAAGUUAACAGACCAGCUAAGAAAAUGAAAUUAUGAUUUAAAUAUGCUGGUCAUUUCCCUGUCGUUUUACAGCUUCAAAUUCAUCCUUUAAUUACAUUUGCCAUCACUCUGUGAUGCUAUGGCUGACACUAUACAAACCAUAGGGUUUUUGUUUGUUUGUUUCGUUUUAACUAGCGGUAACCUCAUUAGAUUUAGGCAAUAGAAGGCAGAGAGGAGACUGAAAAGAAGGCAAAGGCAAGAAGGGAUGUUCUCUUGUUUUGUGCUCUGAUUCCGGCGAGGUUCCCUAUGAGAAGCAACAUUUCAGCCCAGCAGCAGCCAUUUGCUAAAGCAUUGUCAUUUGAUUUCAGCCUCUAGCAUCUUCCAGAACCAACUUCCCUUUGUGGCUAGAGUGAAGUAUACUGGUAUAAAGUGCUCUAAAAAUACAGAAACUGAGAGAAGAAGAAAUAUGAAAAAGAAAUGGAGAAAUGUGAGAGAGAAAACCAUUUACUGUGCGACAUUAGACUUCCUCGUGAUGAAGGAGGAGGAGAACAUUGGAUCUGAUAGGUGAUUCAAGUCUAAAAAUUGACUGAACUAAA